UAAUACAGUGUGUCUGUCCUGGACCUUUGAAGUAAGUGGGAGUUCUGCCACCAAUUUAAACAGGAGAAGGAUUUGAGCCAAUUUGAACAGAAGUUUUCACUUAUCUUAGUGCCUAAUCUUCUUUUUAAAGGGAUGUGGGAGUAUCAGCACCUCCUACGUAAUGCUCAUCAGCGUGCAGAAGUAAACUAGUCUGGUCACUUUUGGAGGCCCCUUUAAAACCAGGAGGAUUACUCAGUGCUUUGUCCCUGGAGAAGCCGAGUUGUCUAGACCUCCUCUACUGUCUCCCUGAAUGGCAAUGUACAGCUGCAGAGUGGCUGACCACGUAUGGCUGAUUUAUCAGGAAACUGGCAGACUCUGACUGUUGUCUUAGGAGUUGAAAAAACUAAGGCAAAUUUACUGUAAGGUAAAGGCAUUUCACUGGAAUACUUCAAGUAAAUCUGUAAAUUAAAGAGGGUAGAAAACUGAUGUUUUCUUCAUACUACGCCUCUUUUUCUUCACUGAGUGCAGAGGAGCCU
This is a long non-coding RNA of Ficedula albicollis (Collared flycatcher), 515 nucleotides long. The record is from Ensembl. NCBI's taxonomy places the organism in Eukaryota, Metazoa, Chordata, Aves, Passeriformes, Muscicapidae.